GAUGAACACUGGCGGCGUGCCUAAUACAUGCAAGUCGAGCGAACAGAUGAGGAGCUUGCUCCUCUGACGUUAGCGGCGGACGGGUGAGUAACACGUGGAUAACCUACCUAUAAGACUGGGAUAACUUCGGGAAACCGGAGCUAAUACCGGAUAAUAUAUUGAACCGCAUGGUUCAAUAGUGAAAGACGGUUUUGCUGUCACUUAUAGAUGGAUCCGCGCCGCAUUAGCUAGUUGGUAAGGUAACGGCUUGCCAAGGCGACGAUGCGUAGCCGACCUGAGAGGGUGAUCGGCCACACUGGAACUGAGACACGGUCCAGACUCCUACGGGAGGCAGCAGUAGGGAAUCUUCCGCAAUGGGCGAAAGCCUGACGGAGCAACGCCGCGUGAGUGAUGAAGGUCUUCGGAUCGUAAAACUCUGUUAUUAGGGAAGAACAAAUGUGUAAGUAACUAUGCACGUCUUGACGGUACCUAAUCAGAAAGCCACGGCUAACUACGUG
Molecule: ribosomal RNA, 497 nt
Filed under: uncultured bacterium
Lineage: Bacteria
Description: partial 16S ribosomal RNA
Rfam family: Bacterial small subunit ribosomal RNA
Source: RNAcentral